This 253-nucleotide ribosomal RNA is filed under the name uncultured bacterium. RNAcentral's name for it is "partial 16S ribosomal RNA". It matches the Rfam family "Bacterial small subunit ribosomal RNA", at positions 524 to 776 of the family's 1533-position model. The record is from RNAcentral.
UACAGAGGGCGCAAGCGUUAAUCGGAUUUACUGGGCGUAAAGCGUGAGUAGGUGGCUCGCUAAGUCGGUUGUGAAAUCCCUGGGCUCAACCUGGGAAUUGCAGUCGAUACUGGCAAGCUAGAGUUCGGUAGAGGGUGGCGGAAUUCCCGGUGUAGCGGUGAAAUGCGUAGAUAUCGGGAGGAACAUCGAUGGCGAAGGCAACCUCCUGGGCCUGAACUGACACUGAGACACGAAAGCGUGGGUAGCAAACAGG